Molecule: transfer RNA, 66 nt
Filed under: Striatobalanus tenuis
Lineage: Eukaryota; Metazoa; Arthropoda; Thecostraca; Balanomorpha; Balanidae
Description: tRNA-Val
Source: RNAcentral
UGGAAACAAGCUGUUAAGCAUUUCAUUUACACUGAAAAGGUGCUUGUAAUUAUACAAGGUUUCUAA